CACUUCAGUCCUUCCUAAAAACUGUCCAGUGAGGGAUUUUGCGCUCCUCCGCCUUUGAACUGCGUGUCCUUCCAAGUGAUUCGUUAUGGCAGAAGAAGAAAAGGAAAAGGCGACUGAUAAGUGGUCGUUUUGGUUAGAGUUAGCCAAGACCGUCCUUAUAUUUUUGGCUGUGUGCGGAUUUGGAGCGAUGCUUUUGGGUUACAACGUCAGCACGUGCGUGUAUGCAGCGGCGGGCAUGAAGAUGUGCUGGAUGGCUUCCCGACAGCUGAUGAAGGCGUGACCCCCCCCCCCCCCCUCUUCGCCCUCCGGACCAAAGACCACUUCUCUUUAGGGUCUUUUCCAUGGUCUUCAGCGCUGCUCUCCGUCCACCGCCAAGCGUCAAGACCAAGGCAGCGUGACACCAGAGGGCGGGAACUGACAACACGACGAAAGUUCGAAAAAUUUACAGGACUUUAUAUAUGUGUGUAAUAAACAAACUGUCGCCAAGAGUGAGAACUGUCGACGAAAAAAAUAAAUUUGAAGGUGCUUUCAAAUAACGGGAAAAAUGUUAUCUAAGCAUCCCGUUGUGCCAGGACAGCUCAGAUUAAACUCUUUUAUAUUUA
Long non-coding RNA from Penaeus vannamei (Pacific white shrimp), 602 nucleotides. RefSeq lists it as uncharacterized. The record is from RefSeq and is a predicted model, not a curated record. NCBI's taxonomy places the organism in Eukaryota, Metazoa, Arthropoda, Malacostraca, Decapoda, Penaeidae.